Marmota monax (woodchuck) is the source of this 573-nucleotide long non-coding RNA. RefSeq lists it as uncharacterized. The transcript has 2 exons. The record is from RefSeq and is a predicted model, not a curated record. NCBI's taxonomy places the organism in Eukaryota, Metazoa, Chordata, Mammalia, Rodentia, Sciuridae.
CUGGCCACACCCCACCGUGUCCAGUUACCACUCAGUCAAUCCCGUCAGGGAUUCAUUCACCCAUUAAAUCAAGGCUAAUUAAGCCCAACCAUUUCUCCUCGAAACUUUGCAUUGUCUUCCACGUGAGCUUUUGGGGCACAUCACAUCAAAACCGUAAUGAGGGCUCCUAGAGGACCAAGUCAGGAGGCAGAAAGAUUUCCAGACUGCACAUGGCCAUUGUGGACUAUCUACUUUCUAGUCAAGUGCACCUGUGAUGAAAGUCUGGAGCCCAAAAAACCUCUGGUGGUGGGGAUCCUUGUAAAAGUCCUCAUCCUCCUGCCCCUGAAAGCCACCAUGGGACCAGCUAAGGCUGGGAGUGGAUCCAGGCCUUUCUGCACAAGACUUCCUGAGGCUGCUUGAGUCUGCAACCUUUGGGGCCCAGCAGUGCUGAGAUUUCCCUUGUUUGGAGGAGCAUUUUAGAACAGAUCCUGUAACAGUAAUGCUUGUGGGUCUACUUCUACACCAUGGAAGCUUCAGAGCUAUUAUGCAUGUUUCUUCUGUUUUUCUCAAUAAAAAUUGUGCUAAAAUGUGAAA